Molecule: ribosomal RNA, 308 nt
Filed under: Tyrphonothrus maior
Lineage: Eukaryota; Metazoa; Arthropoda; Arachnida; Sarcoptiformes; Malaconothridae
Description: eukaryotic LSU rRNA
Rfam family: Eukaryotic large subunit ribosomal RNA
Source: RNAcentral
CCAAGGAGUCUAACAUGUGCGCGAGUCACUCGGUCUUGAAUAGGCCAGAGAGGCGCAAUGAAAGUAAAGUUGAUUGAGUUACGAUCCUUAGUUAGCCCGCAAGGGCGCUGAGGCGCAGUAACAGCCCGCCAAUUUCGCUUAUUGACGAUCUGGCGGAGUUGUAGCGUACACGUUGGUACCCGAAAGAUGGUGAACUAUGCCUGGGCAAGACGAAGCCAGAGGAAACUCUGGUGGAGGUCUGUAGCGAUUCUGACGUGCAAAUCGAUCGUCAGACCUGGGUAUAGGGGCGAAACACUAAUCGAACCAUC